This 97-nucleotide non-coding RNA is filed under the name unclassified sequences. RNAcentral describes it as "DUF3800-V RNA". It matches the Rfam family "DUF3800-V RNA". The record is from Rfam by way of RNAcentral.
UAUGAUGAGCGGUAAGUCCGCUUUGGGUUGUUUGAGGUGUUCCCAUCCAUCUGGUUGGUUAAGCCUCAACGCAAAAAAUCCAGAGGGCGCGCUCAUU